Long non-coding RNA from Urocitellus parryii (Arctic ground squirrel), 335 nucleotides. RefSeq lists it as uncharacterized. The record is from RefSeq and is a predicted model, not a curated record. Lineage: Eukaryota; Metazoa; Chordata; Mammalia; Rodentia; Sciuridae.
GUGAUAUUUGAAAAGUUAGCAAAGAGCUUUUGGAAGAGUGCAACAUAAAAACAACAACAACAAAACAUGUACUUAAGAUUGCGUAAUCAGUGAUUAAAAAAGACUUAAAAUACUCUUCGGGGAACAAUUCGCGAAAAUUCAGCUGCAGCGUCAUCUGCUGGACAUGCCGCGACACUGCAGGUCCCUGCGGCGAAGAAGAUGGGGUUGCAGUUGAAAGCCAGGCUUUUUGCCCAGGAAAGGCUCUGGCAGCAAGGCACAGAGGCUUGCCAUGAAUUUGUCAAGUGGAUGAAAUAAGGUACUGUCCUGUCAUUGUUUCUCUUUGAUCUCAAGAGAUU